GUGCCUAGUGUGGUUAUACCAAACCUAACACUAACUGUUGCGUUUGUUGUAUUGAGUAUGUAAGUCUUUAUUAAAUCUCCAUCAUUUGCGUUCACUGUCACAAAUGGCAGAUAAAAUUCAGCAGGUUCUUGGAAUUCUCCAUCGUCCGAACUGAAGAUAGCUCCAGCAAUAUCUGUACCAUAUAUGUCUUCAGAUCGAAACACUGAUGAUUCAUUAUCAUAGUCGCAGAAGACAAACUUGCCUGCAACAUCUUGGGAAUCUAAUGAGUUCCAAUCACAGAGUUCCUUGCUUCUAUUUCCGUGUCCAAAAU
Molecule: unclassified non-coding RNA, 310 nt
Filed under: Hevea brasiliensis (rubber tree)
Lineage: Eukaryota; Viridiplantae; Streptophyta; Magnoliopsida; Malpighiales; Euphorbiaceae
Source: RNAcentral